RNAcentral lists this ribosomal RNA (685 nucleotides) under uncultured bacterium. Its description in RNAcentral is "bacterial SSU rRNA". It matches the Rfam family "Bacterial small subunit ribosomal RNA", at positions 1 to 671 of the family's 1533-position model. The record is from RNAcentral.
AAUUCGAUUGAGUUUGAUCAUGGCUCAGGACGAACGCUGGCGGCGUGCUUAACACAUGCAAGUGGAGCGACGAACCGGGCUUCGGCCCGGGGCAGAGCCGCGAACGGGUGAGUAACACGUGGGUAACGUGCCCCGAUGAUCGGGACAACCCGGGGAAACUCGGGCUAAUACCGAAUGAGCCCUCCUGACAUAAGUCAGAUGGGGAAAGGUAGCUUCGGCUUCCGCAUCGGGAUCGGCCCGCGGCCCAUUAGCUUGUUGGUGAGGUAACGGCUCACCAAGGCUUCGAUGGGUAGCUGGUCUGAGAGGACGAUCAGCCACACUGGGACUGAGACACGGCCCAGACUCCUACGGGAGGCAGCAGUGGGGAAUCUUGCGCAAUGCGCGAAAGCGUGACGCAGCAACGCCGCGUGAGGGAAGACGGCCUUCGGGUUGUAAACCUCUUUCAGUUGGGACGAAGCUUCGGCGGUGAAUAGCCGUUCGGAGUGACGGUACCUUCAGAAGAAGCCCCGGCUAACUACGUGCCAGCAGCCGCGGUAAUACGUAGGGGGCAAGCGUUGUCCGGAAUUAUUGGGCGUAAAGCGCGUGUAGGCGGCUCGGUAAGUCCGCUCUGAAAGUCCGGGGCUCAACCCCGGGAGGCGGGUGGAUACUGUCGAGCUAGAGUCCGGAAGGGGCGAGUGGAAUUCCU